UGGACUGCUACUGGCAUCGAAACACCUGCAGAACGUUUUAAUAACUGUUCCCUUGGCUGAUCCGACACUUGAACGAUGAAAGAUAAAAUGAUUGAUUUCAACUUCAGUUCUCCAACGAGACACACCAUAGUCCUGUAGACAGGUAGUACCUACUGAAUAAACAAGAUUUUUUU
Molecule: long non-coding RNA, 173 nt
Organism: Nothoprocta perdicaria
Lineage: Eukaryota; Metazoa; Chordata; Aves; Tinamiformes; Tinamidae
Exons: 2
Source: RefSeq, a predicted model, not a curated record